Molecule: ribosomal RNA, 423 nt
Filed under: uncultured bacterium
Lineage: Bacteria
Description: bacterial SSU rRNA
Rfam family: Bacterial small subunit ribosomal RNA
Source: RNAcentral
AGAGUUUGAUCCUGGCUCAGAAUCAACGCUGGCGGCGUGCCUAACACAUGCAAGUCGCACGAGAAAGUGGAGCAAUCCAUGAGUAAAGUGGCGCACGGGUGUGUAACACGUGAAUUAUCUACCUCCGAGUGGGGAAUAACUGAGAGAAAUCUUAGCUAAUACCGCAUAACACUUACGAGUCAAAGCAGCAAUGCGCUUGGAGAGGAGUUCGCGGCCGAUUAGUUAGUUGGCGGGGUAAUGGCCCACCAAGACGAUGAUCGGUAUCCGGCCUGAGAGGGCGCACGGACACACUGGAACUGAAACACGGUCCAGACUCCUACGGGAGGCAGCAGUGGGGAAUUUUGCGCUAAUGGGGGAAACCCUGACGCAGCAACGCCGCGUGGAGGAUGAAAUAUCUUUGGUAUGUAAACUCCUUUCGAUGGG